CGUGUAGGCGGCUUUGCAAGUCAGAGGUGAAAUGUCUCGGCUCAACCGAGGACCUGCCUUUGAAACUGCAGAGCUUGAGGCCGUGAGAGGAGACUGGAAUUCCUAGUGUAGCGGUGAAAUGCAUAGAUAUUAGGAAGAACACCAGUGGCGAAGGCGAGUCUCUGGCACGGUUCUGACGCUGAGGCGCGAAAGCCAGGGGGAGCGAACG
This 208-nucleotide ribosomal RNA is filed under the name uncultured bacterium. RNAcentral's name for it is "partial 16S ribosomal RNA". It matches the Rfam family "Bacterial small subunit ribosomal RNA", at positions 568 to 774 of the family's 1533-position model. The record is from RNAcentral.